This 1173-nucleotide small RNA is filed under the name Pongo abelii (Sumatran orangutan). RNAcentral describes it as "retained intron". The record is from RNAcentral. Lineage: Eukaryota; Metazoa; Chordata; Mammalia; Primates; Hominidae.
GGAGUCCAACCACAGAUCUGCUCCUCUUACAGGGAAAUCGGGAGCACCAACCGUGCCUUGCUGCCCUGGCUGCUUGAGCAGAGGCACAAGCACAACAAGGCCUGCUGCCCACUGGAGGGGGUCAGGCCAUCACCCCAGCAGACUGAGUAUCGUAAUAAAUGUGAGUUUCUGGUUGGCGUCGGGGUGGAUGGGGAGGAUAACACCGUGGGCUGUCGGCUCGGCAAGUACAAGGGCGGGACGUGUGCUGUGGCAGCCCCGUUUGACACCGUGCACAUCCCCGAAGCCACCAAGCAGGUGGUGAAGGCCUUCCAGGAGUUCAUCCGGUCCACUCCAUACUCGGCAUACGACCCAGAGACAUACACAGGCCACUGGAAGCAGCUGACUGUGCGCACCAGCCGCCGCCGCCAGGCCAUGGCCAUUGCCUACUUCCACCCCCAGAAGCUGAGCCCUGAGGAGCUGGCAGAGCUGAAGGCCUCCCUAGCGCAGCACUUCACAGCAGGGCCAGGCAGGGCCAGUGGAGUGACCUGCCUCUACUUCGUGGAGGAGGGACAGCGGUAAGGAGCCUGAGUGGGGCAGGGCAGGUCCCUGCAGGGACUGUGACACUGAAGGACCCACACCUCCACCCACAGAAAGACUCCUAGCCAGGAGGGCCUGCCCCUGGAGCAUGUGGCUGGGGACCGGUGCAUCCACGAGGACCUGCUAGGGCUGACCUUCCGGAUCUCUCCACACGCCUUCUUCCAGGUGAACACACCCGCAGCCGAGGUGCUCUACACAGUCAUCCAGGACUGGGCCCAGCUGGAUGCGGGGAGCACGGUGCUGGACGUGUGCUGUGGCACUGGCACCAUUGGCCUGGCCCUGGCCCGGAAGGUAAAGAGGGUCAUUGGGGUCGAGCUAUGCCCAGAGGCCGUGGAGGACGCCCGGGUGAACGCCCAGGACAAUGAGUUGAGUAAUGUGGAGUUCCACUGCGGGAGGGCCGAGGACCUGGUGCCCGCCCUGGUGAGCAGACUGGCCUCCCAGCACCUCGUGGCCAUCCUGGACCCACCCCGUGCUGGCUUGCAUUCCAAGGUGAUCCUCGCCAUCCGCAGAGCUGAGAACCUCAGGCGGCUGCUGUACGUCUCAUGCAACCCCCGGGCAGCCAUGGGCAACUUUGUGGAGUGAGUGUCUGCAGGGGCC